RNAcentral lists this ribosomal RNA (495 nucleotides) under uncultured bacterium. Its description in RNAcentral is "partial 16S ribosomal RNA". It matches the Rfam family "Bacterial small subunit ribosomal RNA", at positions 28 to 507 of the family's 1533-position model. The record is from RNAcentral.
GACGAACGCUGGCGGCGUGCCUAAUACAUGCAAGUAGAACGCUGAAGGAGGAGCUUGCUUCUCUGGAUGAGUUGCGAACGGGUGAGUAACGCGUAGGUAACCUGCCUGGUAGCGGGGGAUAACUAUUGGAAACGAUAGCUAAUACCGCAUAAGAGUAGAUGUUGCAUGACAUUUGCUUAAAAGGUGCAAUUGCAUCACUACCAGAUGGACCUGCGUUGUAUUAGCUAGUUGGUGGGGUAACGGCUUACCAAGGGGACGAUACAUAGCCGACCUGAGAGGGUGAUCGGCCACACUGGGACUGAGACACGGCCCAGACUCCUACGGGAGGCAGCAGUAGGGAAUCUUCGGCAAUGGACGGAAGUCUGACCGAGCAACGCCGCGUGAGUGAAGAAGGUUUUCGGAUCGUAAAGCUCUGUUGUAAGAGAAGAACGAGUGUGAGAGUGGAAAGUUCACACUGUGACGGUAUCUUACCAGAAAGGGACGGCUAACUACGUG